This 346-nucleotide transfer-messenger RNA is filed under the name human gut metagenome. It matches the Rfam family "transfer-messenger RNA". From Rfam's summary of the family: Bacterial tmRNA, also known as 10Sa RNA or SsrA, is named for its dual tRNA and mRNA-like properties. The record is from RNAcentral.
GGGGGCGUAAUGGUUUCGACGGGGAUGGUGCACGGCGGGAAGCGGGUAGCGGUGGGCGCCGCUUAAAAAGCCCAAAUUAAAAUUAAACGCUAACAAUAAUAAAUUAGCUUACGCUGCCUAAUUAGGCGGCCGUCCUGCCCGGGAGUACCGCGGCCCGGGACAGGGCGUCGAACAGCGGUGAACGUGAUUUAGCUAAGCUUUGCGCUAAACAUGACCAAUGAAGCUACUGAAGCUGUAAGUUUGUCUGUGGACUUGCAGCGGAGGGAAUGUUGACCAUAGACUGCACCCGGAGAUGCCUGUCGGAAUCUGUUUUCGGACGGGGGUUCGACUCCCCCCGCCUCCACCA